This 2582-nucleotide unclassified non-coding RNA is filed under the name Hevea brasiliensis (rubber tree). Lineage: Eukaryota; Viridiplantae; Streptophyta; Magnoliopsida; Malpighiales; Euphorbiaceae. The record is from RNAcentral.
UGCCUAUCAAGUGUGAACUUCACUUGUCUUUGUCGAGUUCGCUGGCUCAACUCACCAUUCUCCAAAAAGGGCGGGCACCCUGCAGUACCGCCUUCAACGCACAGUCGAUGAGCUCGACGACAAAAGCGUGGGCUGUUCACGCGUCGCAAAAUGGCUGAGAUCGUGAAGCAGGGGCGAAAGUUGAGUAUAAACUGAAGCGACCGAGUCCACUCAAGCAGGAUUACUUUUUUUUUUUUUUUCUUAAGAUAGGGACACAAAUACAGAAAUUAAGGAGAGAACUUGACGUCUUAAUAAAAUUAUAAUAAUUUUAUCAAGAUUUCGUAUUUUAUUUAAUCACUGUACGCACACACUUCACACCUGUGGGAUCCGAUGAACCAAGCAGGACUACUUGGCUUAUGUUGAGUAGAGAUUCAACUUCACUCGCUUCGCUACCUCCGCCAGAAAUUGGUGGCGCGUGAGCUUAAAAGAAGGGAAAUAAAAAAACAAAAAAGAUAUCAGUUUCUGAUUUUUCCGGGUUUUGAGAAUCGUCCUCGUCGUGCUGAGGAUUUAACCAAAAAAGGAAGCUUAGUUGGGUUGGGUUGAGUUGAGUUGAGUUGAGAAUCUUCUUGCUGUAACGAGAGAUGUAAGGGAGAGAUUGAACUGAGGUUUCGGUAUUUGGAGUUCUGUAGGGAUCGAAGGAAUGGCAGAAUGAAAAAGGUAUAUUUUGUGUGUGUGUUUUGUCCCUGUUUGGUUGCUGAGAAAGUAGGUAUUUUUUUGUUUUUUUGGUGCUUGGUUGUUGAGAAAGUGAAGUACUGGAUAAGAAAAGGAAAGUUUUUUAUUUUUAAGAAAUCAAUAAUGCAUGGACUACACCAGUUGGAUUCAGUUUUAUGCUAAUUUUGAUUGUUCAUUGACACUUUUGGGAACAAGUUUUUGUAAGAUUCUUUAAUGUAAUUAAGACAUAUGGAGGUUUUGUGGAAAAGUUGAGGUUUUUGAAGGUCUAAAAUUCUCAGUUUCUCAAUCCAGGUGUUGAAAAGGUUUUUAUAAAUUGAACAUUAGAUAUUAUCAUUCCUUAUUUUCUCAUAUCAUCCGAGAAACAUCAAGCAACAUAACCAUCAUUUACCUUACCUUUCAUUACUUUAUCUUUUCUCCUUACACCCUCCCAAACCAAGUUUAACUUGUAUUGGUUGGAAUAAUCUUUUGUUUAGGUGUUUUUGAGGUAUGUGCUUCAUUCUUGUUAGUGUUUACUAUAACGGUUUCCCCUGGAGAGGACAAGGGAACUUUUGUCCCUGAUCAUGUAGAUGCUGAUGAGCAACAGUGAAGAAAAGAAAAUGAUGGUGUGUUUGUGUCACUGGAUGAAGAAAUUGCAAACAGUAAUGGAUCAAAUGUUAAUGUUAGUGAGUCUGAGAAGAAAGUGGAUUUGUUUCGACAACAAGGAUUGAACAUUCUUCAGACUCUCUAUAGUGGGGCAGUUGAAGCGGUUCCUUAUAGUUUUGGUCUGAGAAAGCGGUUAUUUUAGAUAUUGGAAGCAACAGAGUUGGCAGAUUCAGAAGACAUGCAUAGGGAGAUCCUAAGUGAUAUAAGGAAAAACUUUUCGAAAGAUCCAGAAUAUUGGGAUUGGAUUGCUAGACUUGAAAUGACUAAUUCUGGAACUAUACAGGAGAAGAUUGAAAAGGCGUCUUCCUGCCACAUCUACAAAAAGCAGUUCAGAUACACAAUUCCACAAAACCAUGUGAACCACUGCAACUUGAGAUUUAUUAUUUGCUGCUUUCUGUUGGCCUAGUUUUUCUCAUUAUUGAUAUCUGCCAAGCGUAUUAGUGCAGUCUUUUGUUUUUCUCUGUGAAAUUGAAAUAUAGAAAUGUACAUGAUAUGAAUACUUUUCUUGCUUAUUAACAUCUAAUGGUCACCCUUGAUUCUCUUCAUUGUGUAGGUUUAUGAGGAGGCUUCCAUUAUGUUUAACCUAUUUAUAAAGUUCUUUAUGGAUGUUGUUGGGCGUAAAAGAAAAGAAGACCGAGUCUCUGGAUUACCCAAUCACACUGAAGAUUAUAUUUAAUAUUUCUCAUAUAUUGAGGAUAUACGAGAAAGCUGAGACAUUGGGAUGCAUUACUGAGGAUCUUGCUUUUGAAUAUGUGCCAUUUUACUUGCAACAAGGGAGACUAGAUGGAGGCAAGAAGCUAGCAGAAAAAUUUUUGAAGUGGAAAGCUUUCAAAUUUGGUAAAAUUAUGGCUUUUAAGGGCCUCUUUGGAAAUCAGAUGUCCUACAAAUAAUACUCCUGGACAAAGUAAGGUUGAUCUGCAAUCCGUCUUUGGACUUCUUUGAAGUUUGUUGACAAAAAUGUCAAUAACAGAAGCUAAGGACUUGUGGAUAAUGGUAUAUUUUUGUACUUCCGUAGUUCUACCAUUUCUGCUGUCCAAUUCUUAGAUUAUGUGACUGAUUAAUCUGCUUUCAUAUUUACCAGUCCUCACUGGCUCUAUUUCUUUUGCCUAUCAGAAAUAUCUGUUAAGAUAUGCAUCAUUUUCUGUAUAAAGUAUUUGCCUAAUGAAAAUGCAAGUAUCACAGGCUUGUAACCCUUCAAAUAAAUAGCAAAGAUUUUGUUUGGAUGAAAA